This is a long non-coding RNA of Mytilus californianus (California mussel), 1103 nucleotides long. RefSeq lists it as uncharacterized. The transcript is spliced from 2 exons. NCBI's taxonomy places the organism in Eukaryota, Metazoa, Mollusca, Bivalvia, Mytilida, Mytilidae. The record is from RefSeq and is a predicted model, not a curated record.
CGUCGUCCGAAGACACAUUAGUUUUCGCACUCUAACUUUAGUUUAAGUGAAUGGAUCUCAAUGAAAUUUUACCAUAAGGUUCAAUACUACAAUAGGAAGGUGGGGAUUGAUUUUGGGGGUUAUGGUACCAACAGUUAAGGAAUUAGGGGCCAAAAAGGGAAAAAAAAUAAGCAUUUUUGUAACUUCCAGACAUAACUUGUGUGUAAGUGUAUGGAUCUCUUUGACAUUGUACCACAAGGUUCCAUAUCACAAAGGGAAUGCUGGGAUUGAUUUUGGGGGUAAUGCCUCCAAAUUUUAGGAAUUAGGGGCCAAAAAGGGGCAAAAAACAAGCAUUUUUCUAGUUUCAUGACAAUAACUUGUGUGUAAGUGUAUGGAUCUAUCUGACAUUGUAUCACAAGGUUCCAUAACACAAAGUGAAUGCUGGGAUUGAUUUUGGGGGUAAUUGCUUCCAAAUUUUAGGAAUUAGGGGCCAAAAAGGGGCAAAAAAACAAGCAUUUUUCUAGUUUCAUGACAAUAACUUGUGUGUAAGUGUAUGGAUCUUUAUGAAAUUGUACUACAAGGUUCCAUAUCACAAAGGGAAAGCUGGGUUUGAGUUUGGGGGUAAUUGCCCUAAACGUUUAGGAAUUUGGGGCCAAACAGGGGCCAAAAAACAAGCAUUUUUCUAGUUUCCAGACAAUAACUUGUGUUCAAGUGUAUGAAUCUCUCUGAAAUUGUACUGCAAGGUACCAUACCACAAAGGGAAGGCUGGGAUUGAGUUUGGGGAUGAUGAAUCAUAAGGGGGUUCAAAACAUUUGGGGGGGGGAUUUUUUUUUUCCUUUUUUUUUCUUUAAAAUUUUCCAUUUUAAAUUGGUUAUUUCUGAUUUAUAUAUAAAAGCAAAUAAUAAUGAUAUGGUUUGAAUAGGUAAAUUAAAUUUUUUUUAAGUUCUAAGACCACUUUCAUUCUGUAUCAGAAACCUAUGCUGUGUCAAAUAUUUAAUUACAAUCCAAAUUCAGUGCUGUAUCAAGCUUGAAUGUUGUGUCCAUACUUGCCCCAACUGUUCAGGGUUCAACCUCUGCGGUCGUAUCAAGCUGCGCCCCAGCGGAGCAUUUUAUUUAUAUUUAAG